AGAGAACAGCUCAGUGGUAGAGCACAUGCCUAGCACGCACAAGGUCCUGGGUUCAUUCCCCAGUACCUCUA
This is a transfer RNA of Camelus ferus (Wild Bactrian camel), 71 nucleotides long. It matches the Rfam family "tRNA". Rfam says of the family: Transfer RNA (tRNA) molecules are approximately 80 nucleotides in length. Their secondary structure includes four short double-helical elements and three loops (D, anti-codon, and T loops). The record is from Rfam. Lineage: Eukaryota; Metazoa; Chordata; Mammalia; Artiodactyla; Camelidae.